Molecule: ribosomal RNA, 544 nt
Filed under: uncultured bacterium
Lineage: Bacteria
Description: partial 16S ribosomal RNA
Rfam family: Bacterial small subunit ribosomal RNA
Source: RNAcentral
UGGGGAAUAUUGGACAAUGGGGGCAACCCUGAUCCAGCCAUGCCGCGUGUGUGAAGAAGGCCUUUUGGUUGUAAAGCGCUUUAAGCAGGGAGGAGAGGCUAAUGGUUAAUACCCAUUAGAUUAGACGUUACCUGCAGAAUAAGCACCGGCUAACUCUGUGCCAGCAGCCGCGGUAAUACAGAGGGUGCGAGCGUUAAUCGGAAUUACUGGGCGUAAAGCGAGUGUAGGUGGCUCAUUAAGUCACAUGUGAAAUCCCCGGGCUUAACCUGGGAACUGCAUGUGAUACUGGUGGUGCUAGAAUAUGUGAGAGGGAAGUAGAAUUCCAGGUGUAGCGGUGAAAUGCGUAGAGAUCUGGAGGAAUACCGAUGGCGAAGGCAGCUUCCUGGCAUAAUAUUGACACUGAGAUUCGAAAGCGUGGGUAGCAAACAGGAUUAGAUACCCUGGUAGUCCACGCCGUAAAACGAUGUCUACUAGCCGUUGGGGUCCUUGAGACUUUAGUGGCGCAGUUAACGCGAUAAGUAGACCGCCUGGGGAGUACGGCCGC